This is a non-coding RNA of Styela clava, 1117 nucleotides long. The record is from RefSeq and is a predicted model, not a curated record. NCBI's taxonomy places the organism in Eukaryota, Metazoa, Chordata, Ascidiacea, Stolidobranchia, Styelidae.
GUCUAUAUUUUGAGCAUAUAUCUCUUGUUUUAUUUGCACUCUAAGAAAAGAUGAACGUUGCAGAUGCAGUACAAAUAAGCGAUAAUUUAAAUGCCUUUGUGGCGGGUUGAAGCGCGCGUGCUUCGUUUCGGAAUUCGUAUGAUAAAGUUGGGGGUUAGUUAAUGAUUAAUGCAAUUUCUGCCGGCGUUCAAAUAUGCAAUACAAGUUCGAACACGGUUGUAAAUAUAUUAGGUCAAAUAGUUGUAACUUGACUAGCUACUAUUUUCUAAGUCGAGAUUGCAGUGGACUGUGAUAAUCAAGCAAGACGACAUAAAAUGAAGGUGAUAUGUGCAGGAAUGUCAAAAUGUGGAACGAAAAGUAUGCAUUCUGCUUUAGAAGAACUCGGAUUCGAAGUGCAUGACUUCCCAGAAGCAUAUUACAAUUUUGAAUCGAAAUAUUUCAAAUUCAUUUCCAGAGGAUGGACCUCUAGGGAGUUCCAAGUAAUGUACAAUAAUGUCGAUGCUGUGGUGGACGCUCCAACUUAUUACUACUGGGAAGAAUUGAUGGAGGCUUUUCCGGAAGCAAAGGUAAUACUAAUGACUAGGGACGACGAAGAAAUUUAGUUUGAAAGUAUUAAAAAACAGCUGCUUUCAGUUAAUGGAUUGCAUAGUUACUACUAUCAACUUUUUUCGCCAACCUGGAGAAAAUUUUGGAAAUUUGCAAUAAAUUGUUGUAACCUUGCUUUUGGACGAGAACAAUAUAGUUGUAUGUACUUUGGAGAGAAAGACCCCCCUAAACUCCCUUACUGGCUGGCGUAUAAAAAGCACAUUGCUCAUGUAAUUCAGAGAUGCCCAGGAGAUCGUCUUCUAAUUUACAACUGCAAAAGUGGAUGGAAACCUCUGUGUAAAUUUCUUGGAAAGGACGUACCAAGAAAGGAUUUUCCCUGGAUAAACAAAAACUGUGAAUUGGCAAACAUGCUUUGGGAAAUGCCAAUGUUCAAGAAAGCUAAAAAUGAAAUGUUAACAAAUUCUACUCUGUUGUUUGCUGGUAUUAUAUUCGCUGGAUAUUACUUUGUAAAAUAAGGUUGGAAUUAAAUAAGCUGCAUGUGCUAUUAAUACAAGAGAGCUACGCCCAAAUA